GACGAACGCUGGCGGCGUGCCUAAUACAUGCAAGUAGAACGCUGAAGGAGGAGCUUGCUUCUCUGGAUGAGUUGCGAACGGGUGAGUAACGCGUAGGUAACCUGCCUGGUAGCGGGGGAUAACUAUUGGAAACGAUAGCUAAUACCGCAUAAGAGUAGAUGUUGCAUGACAUUUGCUUAAAAGGUGCAAUUGCAUCACUACCAGAUGGACCUGCGUUGUAUUAGCUAGUUGGUGGGGUAACGGCUCACCAAGGCGACGAUACAUAGCCGACCUGAGAGGGUGGUCGGCCACACUGGGACUGAGACACGGCCCAGACUCCUUCGGGAGGCAGCAGUGGGGAAUCGGCGGCAAUGGGCGGAAGUCUGACCGAGCAACGCCGCGGGAGGGAAGAAGGUUGUCGGAUCGGAAAGCUCGGUUGUAAGAGAAGAACGAGUGUGAGAGUGGAAAGUUCACACUGUGACGGUAUCUUACCAGAAAGGGACGGCUAACUACGUG
Molecule: ribosomal RNA, 495 nt
Filed under: uncultured bacterium
Lineage: Bacteria
Description: partial 16S ribosomal RNA
Rfam family: Bacterial small subunit ribosomal RNA
Source: RNAcentral